Long non-coding RNA from Triticum aestivum (bread wheat), 1250 nucleotides. RefSeq lists it as uncharacterized. The record is from RefSeq and is a predicted model, not a curated record. The transcript has 4 exons. Lineage: Eukaryota; Viridiplantae; Streptophyta; Magnoliopsida; Poales; Poaceae.
ACGGUCUCAUGAUACGCAUUUUGAGCUCUUUUACGGUGAUUGACGAGUUAUGAUUCGUAAUUUCGUGUAACUUCGCCGCUGAUUUUUUCUAAUCGUCGGAUCAAAGAAAUCAUUUAAAGGUUUUUUAUAUGCGAACAGGGUAGAGUAGUAAAUUAGCCGGUCAAUCCAGUCGCUAGUCAAUCCCUCGCACAGCCUUCGUCGUUGUCAGUUUAUUAUCCUCCUCAAUCCCCUCGCACAGCCGCCGCCGCCGACCCGACCCUCGACCGUGGCGACGACGGCGUCCCUCCUCUCGGUCGUGCCGCCGCUGCCCCAGAUCGUCACACAGCCGCAGCCGCCUAUACUUUUUCUCGCCCCUCCCCUAAUCCAGUUUCCGUCCAAAGUCGCCGCCGCAAACAAGGGAUCCCACCGGACCUCGCCGCCGCCGCCGCAAUCAAGUGAUCCCGCCGGACCUCGCCGCCGCCGCCAUCAAGGGAGCCCGCCGAACCUCGCCGCCGCCGCAAUCAAGGGAUCCCGCUGGAUUGCCGCCAGGUUUCUGGCCUGCCGCCAGGAGCCGCAGGAACUGCAUGCCAUCAGGCGCGGCAUGCCGAGCCCACCGAAGCCUCCUCUGCCCCACCGCCCCCUGCAGCGCAUCCCUCCGUCGAGCAUCCGGUCAUGCCGAGCAACGCCGCGGACCAGUCCGUAGGCAGGAUCUAUCUGGCCGACCUCAUUUGAGCUGCGGCUUAAGUAUUCCUACUGCACGGGUUUGCACAUAUGAUACAUAGUUGGUUGAGCACAUCUUCUAGACUCUUGUGAAUGCACCUGGGACAACGGUUCACAUCAGUCUGGUAUAUACUGCUUCCGUUUCGAGUGAAAUCCUCUCCCAUAGCCCCUGCCCCAGAUGAAAUGAGCUAUAUAUGUGUAUGAUGAUCCUCCUUUCCUAAAAGUUCCAGGAAGGAAAUUUGUGCGCCGCUAUCCGGAACCUCCUCUGCUUUCUCUGAAACAGGGUUGCCAUGUGAAGAAAAAGGAUAUGUGGGAGCUUUUGAAUGGACAAAGGCUUCAGCAAGGAAGAGAAGACGGCUGCAUUUCCUUACUUGCAAUUCUAGUAACUAUCUUUGUUAUAACUUGUAGAGUGUACCUGCAAAAAAAACUUGUAGAGUGUGAUGGAUUAAUUAGGAUGCUAUGUAAUCAGAGUACGUACCCUAUCAUAUGUAUCAUGACUGAUUGUGAUCAGGGUCUGCAUUCUAUGAAGAAGGCACCCAUUUAUAUGUUUA